This is an RNA transcript of Microtus ochrogaster (prairie vole), 2447 nucleotides long. It is a transcript of the gene named Nedd4 family interacting protein 2, with no coding region annotated. The transcript has 10 exons. NCBI's taxonomy places the organism in Eukaryota, Metazoa, Chordata, Mammalia, Rodentia, Cricetidae. The record is from RefSeq and is a predicted model, not a curated record.
ACAGAGCUGAAAAUUGUGGGAUACCUUCGCAGCCGGGACGCGGAUGGAACGGCGACGGCGGAGCCAGAGAGCAUGCGCGUCCAACCCGAGCAUGCUCAGUAGCUCGCGCGGCUCCCCGGAGCUGCUGCGCCGACCGGCGAGCGAAGCGGAGGUCUCGGCGGUAGUCGAGGGAGCGACAGGAAGUGAAGCGGCCCCGCCGGGCGACCGCGGCGGCAGAACCCGAGGCGGCGGAAGGGGCUCUGCGGCGACGACGUCGUCGACCGGGGGAGAGGCCGAAGGAGCUGAGCGCCGAGGGGACACGCCCGCUCGGAAGCCGGACCCCGAGGCGGGCAGGAUGGAUCACCACCAGCUGGGGACUGGCCGCUACCAGGUGCUUCACAAUGAAGACGAUAAUUCAGAAUCAUCUGCUGUAGAGCAACCAUCAACUUCUAACUCCACAGCACAGACCGCGGAAGCUGCUUCUACAGCCCCAGCCCUGGAAACUGACUCUUCACCUCCACCAUACAGCAGCAUUACCGUGGAAGUACCGACCACUUCAGAUACUGAAGUUUACAGUGAGUUUUACCCGGUGCCACCUCCGUACAGCGUUGCUACCUCUCUUCCCACAUACGAUGAAGCUGAAAAGGCUAAAGCUGCUGCCAUGGCAGCUGCAGCAGCGGAAGCAUCUCAAAGAAACCAGGAGGGAGAGUGCACACCAGAUGACUGCAGUGAUGUGGACCAGCUCAGAGUAGGCAACGAUGGCAUUUUCAUGCUGGCGUUUUUCAUGGCAUUCAUUUUCAACUGGCUUGGAUUCUGCUUAUCCUUCUGUAUCACCAACACCAUAGCUGGAAGGUAUGGUGCUAUCUGUGGAUUUGGCCUUUCUCUGAUCAAAUGGAUCCUUAUUGUUAGGUUUUCCGACUAUUUUACUGGCUAUUUCAAUGGACAGUAUUGGCUUUGGUGGAUAUUUCUUGUACUUGGCCUCCUCCUUUUCUUCAGAGGGUUUGUUAAUUACCUAAAAGUCAGAAACAUGUCUGAAAGUAUGGCAGCUGCCCAUAGAACAAGGUACUUCUUCUUACUAUAGAGACUGCAUCAACAACAUUCCUUCCUUGUACCAAUGUGAAAUGUCCACGUCAUCUGUAGACCACAGCUUUGCUAGGACAGACUACUGAGAGCAGGAGGAAACUAUGAGAGGUGGAGCUCUGAAGUUAAAUGACAGGGUGGUUUAUGCUUAAAAGCCAUUUCUGCUCAUUCUUUACUUGUCUGUACUUCAUUUAUUUUGCGCAUUUGCAUAUGUGCCUAUUUAAAGAUACGCAUAUACUUGAAAGUCCACAAAGUUGUUGCAAAGUCCAGUCAUACUUGGUUAAUCAGUGUUUGAUAAAAUUGGAAGAGUUGAGUGGUAAACACUUCCAGCAUGUAAAUGCUUCUGACUUGACUGUUAGCAUAAUAAAAAUUACAUUAUUAAUCUUGUCAAAUGCUUUAGUUUCUGGCUUAGAUUCAUCUGGUAAUUCCAAACAUGAAAUAUUCUUUGCUAUAGAUGAUGUUUAUUAAAACUUGCAGUGUGAUUAUUAGAAAAGAUUUGUCAGAUUUUUGAGUGUGAUAUUAUUUAGGAAAACUGUAAAUAAUCAUACAUAAGUUGCUUUUUACAUUCUUUUCUUAGAAUUAUGUCUAGGUUUCUUUUCAUUAAUUUUAAAUUAAGUAAACUAAAUAUAUAGAAAUAAACUUUCUUAAAGAUAGAAUGGUUUCUAAAGAUAGAUGAACGCUAAGAAGAUGUGAGUAUACCAAAUGCCCUUUAAAGAAAAAGAAGCUAAGAGGCAAUACUAGUUUUAGGGAUUUUCAAACAAGAGGCUUAGAUUUGAGGAUUACUCACCUUAGCAAUUCUUACAAGAAGAGACUGAAUUAGAUCUUGUAUUUAUUUACAUCUAAGACAGUUUUAAAAAUUGAUUUAUCAAAUAUAUUCUCAUUUGCAUUUCUCUUUUAGAAAGCCAAUAAAAGUACCUUUCAAUAUUAUUGUAAUCAUUUUUCUUUAAAUGCUUAAUAGCAAAUAAAAUCUUGUUCUGUUAAUAGCGCCUUGCUUAAUGAUUGUAAUUUGUAAAAACAUAAGCUGAACUGAAUAACGGAAAAUACAUAUUUUGAUUUUAUGAAAAUGUAUCUGUGCAAUAUAGGGAUGCUGAGUGUCUGUGGUGAGUGCGUGUGGCCAUUACUCUGACUGGAACCUGCUUUUACGUCCAUAGCUACAAUGCUUGGCAUCUUACACAUUGCUGUCUCCUGGGGUCUUCAUUUUUAUCUUAGCUUUAGAACAGCAGCAGCAAAGAUGAUAGAAAUUACAUUACUGCUUACAUGUGAAGAUUGUCACUUAAUAUAACUACAAAGAACAUACAAAAUUGAUUGCUAGACACGGACUAAAAGGUACAUCUAACUAUUUAUGGCCCUUAUUCCAGUUUUAAGGAAAAAUAAAAUUUAUAAUGUUU